UCACACAUGUUCUUCCCACCAUUGAUAAAAAGAAAAGAUUGAGAGAGAAAAAGAGAGAGAGAGAGAGAGAAAGAACAUAAACAUAAACAUAAAGAAAAAACAAAGAUCUAAUUGAAAAAACUAGAUAUGAUGCAUGAAACAAAAUUGAAAGGAAAAGAACAUUAAAGAAGAACUAAGAAAUGUUUGAGCAGAAAAGAAGAAGAUAAUCAGAAAGCAAAAGUUUUGGACUUUGGAGAAUCAGCAACUUUGAGAGUUUGUUCAAUAAGUUUUCUGGCUUUUCUGCUUCUAAUCUCCAUUCUCAUGCUUUCACUCUUCUCCACUUUAUCAUACUCACUCUUCUUCACAAUCUUCAAACUCCUCAUCUUUGAUUUCAAUGUCACCAUCAACCUUCCCAAUCCCAUUGUUUUCUUUCUUCUUUCCUUCAACUUUCUUCACACUCUGUUCAUCAUCAUCAAUCAAUCACAGAUAAAUAAACUCAUAAGAACAACAAGAAGAACAAGAACAAGAAGAAGAAAGAGACAUGUGAGAGAGAAGAGGAACAUAGAAACAAACCUUUUCAAGAACUCAUUGUGAAAACUUUUGACCUUUCUUAUGUUAUAUACACUGCACAAAAAACCCUCUUUCUCUCUCCUUUUCUUUUUAUAUAUAUUUUUUGUGAAUGGAAAUCAAUGAAUAACAAGAGCAUUCAAUGAAUUCUGUGUAUAUUCUGUGUCCAUUUCAGAAUUCUUAUUCGUAGUUGUUUGAAAAUUUACAUCUGUAAAUAACAAAGGAUAAGAUCAAAUUCAUUGUACAUUGAAAACUAAAAAACUUAAUAAUAAUAAUAAUAAUAAUAAUAAUAUAUCAAUACUUAAAAUGAGGUAAGUUUAGUUCAAUCUAGAAUUUAGUGGGAGCAGUUUUGAAAUUGUAUAAUGGUUAAAUAAUUUUUUGAUUUUUUUUUGAGUUGGUCUAUAUUAAAAUUGAUAUUUUAAGAAAACUGUUAUGGAUAAUACUUAAUAUUUUAAUGAAAAAAUAUAAUUAAUGACUUUAUUAUUAUUAAGUUAUAGUGGUGAGAGUAGUGGAAUGAUUAUCAAGACAAAAAAAUUAAUAAAUUUACAGAUAUAUAAAUAAUUUUGAAGAGAUUUUGAAAACUUAUGUAAUCAGAUUUUGAAUUAUGUUGUCGUUUGAAGUAUUGUUUGUUUUAAAAGUAAAAAUUUUUUCAUUAUUUUUAUUUUUAAAAGUAGUUUUUAGAAAAUAGAAGAAAAAAAAAAAAUUAUACUUGAUUUCAAAUUUUAAAGGAUGUGAACUAUUAAAUAUUUAUAGCUUCUAUAUUUUUGAAGCUAAACGAUUUUGAUUCAUUACUUAUGCAUGUCUUCCAACUGCUAAUAAAAGAUGUUACAUGUUUAUAAGUUAUAAUAAUGUCAAUUAUUUAUUUGCGUAAGAUGUUAAUUACACAAUUUAAUUAAUAUAUAUGUUAUAACAACAUAUGCAUUAAUACUUAUAUGUUAACCAUUAAAUAAAAUAGUUAUGAGCAAUAAAAGUUAUUUAAUUUUAGAAAAAAAAAAAUCAAAUGUACACUGUGGCCAAACUUUAAAAUUCGAAAAACUAUUGACACAACAUAGUAAAUUUAUGGUUUUAAUAUUCUUUAAUAAAAUAUAAAUAAUAGAUCUUAUAAUAUAACAAGAAAAAUAUAAUAUUUUGGCAGUAAUUUCUUUUAAAAUGUUUCUAUUUUUUCAAAAAAUUGUAAAACUAGAAUAAGGUUAAAUAUUGUCCUCAAUUUUUUAAAAGUUAUGUUUCGUCUUAAACUUAUUUAUUUCAUUCUGUACUUUAUAAAAAUCAUGUUUUCAGUAAAUUAUUUUUCAUGUAAAAAACAAAGUUUGACGAUUAAUUAUAUAAUAUAACAUUCAUUGACAAAGUUAUAUAAAUUUUUUUUUUUUAUGUAAAACAAAGAAAAGUUUCACUAUUAAUUCUAUAAUAUAUAAUUUACUGUAUAAAGCAAAAUUUUUCUAUGUAACAAGCAAAAAUUUUACGAUUAAUUAUAUAAUAUAAGAUUCACAUAUUAUUUAUUAAAAUGAUGUUUUUCGUAAAAUACAGAAGUAAAAUAACUAUAUAUUUUAUCUCAAAAAGUAACAUAUUUUUUCAAAAUACUUUAAAAUCCGAAUAACGUCUUUAACACUUUAGAAUAUUAUAAGCUUAUGAUAAUAGAAUGAGAUAAUAUUAAUUAAUUUCUUUAAUAUGUCUAAAAAUGUUAUUAAUUAUAUUUUUAAAUUGGGUUUUUGAAAAAUUUUGACUUUUCAUUUUGUAUUUUGAAAAGUUAAAAUAAAGUUGGUUAUAUUGUUAAAUAUUUUUGUCUCAGUUUAAAAAAAGAUUAAAAAAGAAGGUACUAAUAAUUAACUACCUCAGUGAAGAAAGAAGAAAACGUAUUUUCUAACUCCAUAUAUUUUGUUUUUAUACUUAAUAUUUUUGAAAUAAUAAUUUUAGAUUUUGUGAUUUAUAUAUAUAUAUAUAUAUCUUACCAGUUUUGUGCUUCUUUUUAAUGCAGCAUUGACUCUGCUGGCAUGAUUGUGAACAUAUGGCACUGUUGGACUUAACUGCCACCAUUUCAACAUGCAUUGGACAAUGGCUAGAGAAAAUAAUCUCUGGAUUUCAACUUCAUAUUAAAAAAGAUAAGUUAAUUUUAUAUUAUUUAUUUACACAUUAAUAUUUUAAUUUAUCAUUAUUGUUUCUUACACUAAAUUAAUAAUUUGUUUUAUUUUUCUUGAAAGAGUUUCGGAGAAGUUCAUUUAAGGAAGCUUAUAAAUAUGAUAAGGAUAUGUUCGGAUAAACUUUUUAACAAGGCUAUUUCUUUUUUUUAUAAAUAGUUUAUGAAGAUUAUAAAAAAUAAAUUAGCUCUUUUACAAGUUAAAAUUAAUUUAUGUAUUAGUUAAUUUGGAGAAUUAUCCUAUAUAGUUUCUCUAAACCCUAAACGAAGAAAUCAUAACAUUAGUAAGUACUCCAUAAAUUAAUGUCAAAGAAAUAUUUUUAAUUCAAAUAAUUAAUUUAAAAGUUCAAAUAUAUAAUUAAUAUUAACCUUUUAGGUGUGACCCAUUUUAGGAAGAACAAUAUAACAUUUGAUGUGUAUUUUUGGGUGAACUUCUGCAAAAACUAAUUUUAGAUACAUUAAUUCUGAUGAGAAUAUAUUGUACACUGCCAUGAUGUGUCUUUGAAAGUUUUUAUCUUAAAAAGAAAAUUUAUAGAAAACAUGAUAUUACUUUUAAAUCCAGUAUACAAACUAUUUAAAUGAAUUAAUUCAAAUUUUGUAAAUUGAAAUUAAUUUCGCAUUUUUUUCCUAAUAUAGAGCCAUUCUUAUAAACCAAUCAUGUACGAAUUUCUAUAUGAGACUAACUUGACUAAGCUAAAAUGUGUGGGCCUAACAAGCCCAUUUAUUCCAUGAACGACGGCUACUUCAUGCAGUUCUCUACUUUUCUUCCUAUAUCCUACAAAUUAUAAUAUUUCCAUUUUAUCCUUUAUUAAAAAAUAAUUAAAUACUUUUUUAGUCACUGAAAUUUGAGACAAAACUACCUUUCAUUAAUAUUUUUGAAACUUUGAUAUAUUUUCGUUUUUUAAUUUUUAAAAAUAAAUAAAUAUAAUUUUUUAAUCAAUUAUAUUAUAUUAAACACAUUAUUCAAUUGAUAUUAAGACAAAAACGUAUCAAACUAUAAAAAAUUUAAAUACUAAAAAAAAUUUAUUUUAACACUCUCACACAUUAAAACAACACAUUAUAUUAAUUUAUUUUUAAAGUUUUAAGAACCAUUUUUAAUUUUACAUCAAAAUUCAACCAUCCAAUACAUAUUUCUAUCUUAUAAAUCUCUUCCUCGGGGUCAUUUUCUUCUUUUACACAAAUUCGUUCGAAGAAAAAAUCUCUCUACUCCACAUAACGUCAAAUUUCGAAUUUUUCUUUCUUUUACACAAAUUCGCUCGAAGAAAAAAUCUCUCUACUCUACAUAACGAGAAUUUUUCUUUUACACAAAUUCGUUUGAAGAAAAAAUCUUUCUACUCCAUCAGAGGUAAAAGAUGAAAGAAGAAAUGAAAUUUGAAAAAAAAAAAUUGUUUAGGUUAUUCAAAAAAGAAAAAAAAAAUGCAGGUGUGUCAGAAUGUAAAAAAUGGUCUGAACAAGAUUUUUUGCUGAAGGUAUUUUUCAAAAUUAUUUUUUUAAAGACUCGUUUUAGAAUUUUCUUUUUAUAAUUUGAAUUCAAAUUAAACAGUGAUUCCAAAAUAAACAUAAAAAGUAUAUUUUAAAAUAAAUGUUCAAAAAUAUUUUCAGAAUAAAAAUACUUUUGAAAAUACUUAUCAUUUUCUUUAGUUUUUAAAUAAUUCAAACACUUUCUUUUCCAAAUUUCCUUUCUCGUCCAAUCUUUUUCUUCCCACAUACUACUUAUGAAACUAAGAAGAAGUGCGUGACAGUAGUAAGGAAAGACUGUAAAAUUAAUAUUUUAGAGUUUUUAAUAUUUAUUUUUUAUUAUUAAUCUAACAUAUAAAUUAAAGAGGUAUAAUGUUUCGAGAAAUACAAACUUAAUAAAAACAAGUCAUUCAUAGCCAUUUACAUUGAAACAAAACUAUUAGAAUUAUAAUUAAGUUAGAGUCUGAUUCCUACCUUUAAAAGAAAACCUGACCAUUAUUAUCUCAUUCUUCUUAAAAAUGAAAUGAAAUUGUGAUAUGAUACUUUAUAACAUACGGGUAGAUGCGUCUUUUUAUUACCUAUCAUGGUGUUCUGGAUUCCUUGGCAUACGAAAGUUGUGUUUACUUGAAGAUGGUCUUUUUAUUACUUAUCAUGUGAAAGCGUUCUUCUUUGAUUGACAUACGAAAAUUGUGUUUUAUUUAAACGAUGAAUUUAAAGGAGAUAGAAUAUUUAAAUGUGAAAGAAUUUAAAAGUAAAUUAAAUGUUAUUUUUUUAAGGGAUACAGAGGUGGAUGAGAAUAAAUUUUAAUAAAAUUUAUGAAAAUUAAUAUAAAAUUUAAUUAAUGUAAUAUAUAUAUAUAUAUAUAUAUAUAUAUAUAUAUAAAAGAAAUUUAAAUUGAUAUAAUACUAAAAAUAAUAUAAAAUAACACUUAUUAAUAAUGUAUUUAUUGGUAAAAAAAUAUUAUAAGGAGGAAAAAAUCAAAAUCGUUUUUUAAAUAAAAUAAUUAAAACAAUAUAUUUUUUUAUUAUUAUUAUUAUUGUUGUUGUUAUUAGAAGUCUUUUUUUUUAUACACCAGUACACAAUUGCAUGUUUGGACCCAGUGAACAGAGCUGAACAAUCAGCUUUGAUACAGUACGAGGUGAUGUUCCCUCUACCUUUCCAAGUGGGUCCUGCACCUCCCCAUUAUUUUAAUUUAUUUCAAAAAUAUUUUAUAUCUCUCCACUAUUUUCUUUUAUUCUCUUUCUCUCUCUGCAUUAAUUGAGCGUUUACAUGGCUCAUUAAUAGAGCAUUUACAUGAUUCAAAUUUGAACUUGUGAUAUAUUUUCUUAAAUAAGUUUGAUUCAAUCUUAUUUUCACUGUUUGAAUAUAUUUUUUUUUUCUUUUCAAAUUACUUAAUAAAUGCUAAAAUUUUGUUCUAAAUUUCUAGAAAAAUGUUUAUAUAUAUCUAUGCUUUUUUUUACAUAUAAUAUCUAUAAUUUUUAAUAUUAUAUUAUGUUUUAAUUCACCGACAUGUUUAACUCAGAUAACUUGAAUAAAAUAUUUAAUUUAUUAGAUAAAUAAUAUAAAAAUAUUAUUAAAUACUUAAAAUAUAAAAAAAUAGUUAUUUGUUAAAAAUUUAGAAUUUAUUUAGUUCUUUUGUCAUUAUAAAGUUAGUAUAUAAUAAUAAUAAUAUAUCAUUAUUUACUAUUAAUAUUAUUAUGUUUAUUAUUUUGUAUUUGCAUCUAACUUUUUAUUUUAUAAAAUGGAGAUGGUAGAAGUACUAAUAUUGAAGUUUCUUCUGAAUUUUAUAUUUUGUAGUAUAUCACAGAUAAAAAUAAAUGAAAAUACUAGUGAAAAUGGAGAUGGUAGAAGUGCUCCAUUAAUGCAAAGAGAGAAAGAUAAAAAUUGUUAAGGAUAGUGGGGAGGUGUAGGGUAUUUUUGGAAUAAAAAAAAUAGUGGAGAGGUGUAAAAUAUUUUUUAAAUAAAUGAAAAUAGUGGGGAGGUGUAAGACCUACUUGGGGAGGUGCAAGACCUACUUGGGGAGAUAAAGGGAGCAAUACCCGGCAGUACGCCACACCCCACAUAACCCCUUCCUUCCUUACAUACCAUUCCUCCCUUUAAGUUCCAACAUUAUACUUCUCAUUUUUAUUUAUUCUUCUUUUCCAUACUUCCAUACAAGCUGUGAGCUCCAACCCAACCACCACUUCUUCAUCUUUAAUCUCUCUCCAAACCAUACCCUAGUUCAUAACCAUCCUCACUAAAUCUCUCUCUUUCUCAUUCAAAUAUAACUCCUAACGCCACUCACUCCUCUUCUUUCCUAACCAUAUUUCUUCUUCUCUCUUACGAUUUAGUUUCAUUUUUUUCCCCUUGUUAUCAAAAUCUUUGCUUUGUUACUUUUCCCUUCUCAGCUUCUUCUUCUUAUAUGUUGAGAAUGUGAUUUCGUGAUUCACAACUUUUCUGGUUUCGUGGUUACAGCUUUUCGAGAUACUGACAUUCGAAAUCUUUAUGAUGUAAAUGAUAUCCAACGGAUGUUAAUAUCCAUUCGCUGACAUUCGUUUAAGAAUAUAACAAAUAUUGAAAUUUGUUUCAGUGUAUAAAUUAUAAAGUUAAAAUUUUUAAUCACAAAAAAUUAAAUAUUAUAGAAGGAUAAAAAGGAAUCAAGAGGUGCAGGAAGCACUCUAUGAUGGUGGUAAGAAGGUUCAAUCUAGACAUAGAUUUCCAUAUUGACAAGAUAUUGUUCGUUCUGGAUCAAACCCUUACAAAUUUGUUUUUAGUACCAAUCCAAAAAAUCUCUUACCAACCAAAAUAUUUUAUAAGUAAAGACUAUAACUUUCUACGUAGGUGUGUAAAUAAACCGAUGGAAGAAUUGUUACUUGAAAAAUAAAUUGAGUCAUUACAGAAAACCAUGCCAAUGUUGCAAAGUAUACAACCAUCCUCGUACUUAGUUUUAGGUUAAAGAAAAGAGACAAGGAGAACAUGACAUGAACAAUAGAUAUAAAAAAUAUUUAAAUUGAUAGAAACUAAAAAUUAGGUAAAAAUAUAUAAUAUAAAAUAAUAUUUAUUAAUAAUUUUUGGAAAAAAUAUUAUAUGAAGAAAAAAAUCAAAAUUAUUUUUUAAAUAAAUAAUUGAAACAAUAUAUUUUUUUAGAAUUAUUAUUAUUAUUAAAAAGCAUGAAUAAACUAUACCAUGGAAGAAAAAUUGUACGUGUAUGUACAUGUAUAUGAAUUAUAUAUAUAUAUAUAUAUAACAUGAAAAAAAUCAAAACAAUGUAGAUUGGAAGUAUUGGAAUCAAAUACAAAGAUCUUGGAAUCAGAUACAAGAUGAAAAAUGCAUUACAUUUUCCAAUUUUUUUUUCUUUUCUCCUUUCAAAUUCGUUAAUACGAACAUUUUAUUAUGCAAAUUCAUUUUUCCUAAUUCACUUUAACAAUAUAAUCCUAUGAAUCGAACAUUGUAGCAAUGGUAUUGGUGACCUGCUGCGGUUAAAAUAUAUAAUUCAUAUUAAAAUUAAACUUGUUAUAAUUUGAUGGAUUCGCAGAUAUUGCUUUGCGCAAAACCAAAUGAGUAUAUCCUUUUGGCUGUUGCUCUCUCUAUCUCCCCAAAUGAGACUUGCACCUCCCCACUAUUUUAAUUUAUUUUAAAAAUAUUUUAUAUUUUUCUAUUAUUUUUUUUUAUUCCAAAAAUAUCGUAUACCUUUCCACUAUCUUUAACCAUCUUUCUAUUUCUCUCGCUACAUUAAUGGAGCAUUUAAAUGACUCAUUAAUGGAGGAUUUGCAUGACUCAAAUUCUUAAAUAAGUUUGAUUCAAUCUUAUUUUUGCUGUUGAAUAUAUUUUUUUCUUUUCAAAUUACUUAAUAAAUGAUAAAAUUUUGUUCUAAAUUUCUAGAAAAAUGUUUAUAUACAUGUGUGUCUUUUUUACAUAUAAUAUCUAUAAUUUUUAACAUAAAAUUCAAAGGAAAUUUCAAUAUUAGUACUUCNNNNNNNNNNNNNNNNNNNNNNNNNNNNNNNNNNNNNNNNNNNNNNNNNNNNNNNNNNNNNNNNNNNNNNNNNNNNNNNNNNNNNNNNNNNNNNNNNNNNNNNNNNNNNNNNNNNNNNNNNNNNNNNNNNNNNNNNNNNNNNNNNNNNNNNNNNNNNNNNNNNNNACAUAUAUAUAAACAUAUUUCUAGAAAUUUAGAACAAAAUUUUACCAUUUAUUAAGUAAUUUGAAAAGAAAAAAAUAUAUUCAAGCGCAAAAAUAAGAUUGAAUCAAACUUAUUUAAUUAAGAAAAUAUAUCACAAGUUGAAAUUUGAGUCAUGUAAAUGCUCCAUUAAUGAGUCAUGUAAAUGCCCAUUAAUAUAAUAUAGAGAGAGAAAGAGAAAGAUUGUUAAGGAUAGUGGGGAGGUGUAGGGUAUUUUUGGAAUAAAAGAAAAUUGUGGGGAGGUGUAGAAUAUUUUUGAAAUAAAUUAAAAUAGUGGGGAGGUACAGGUCCCACUUGGAGAGGUGCAGGGAGCAACACCCUAUCCUUUUCAGAGAACUAUUAGUGAAUAUCAGAGGUUGUAGAGGAAUUUUGCAGGGUCUUUUGUCUUAGGUGGUAAGAGAACCAACGUAGUAAGUUUUUUUUUUUUUUUUUUUUUUUCAAAAAAGUUGUCAAGUGAAAAGUCUGAUUUAUAGAAAAGACAUGUGGGGUUUGCAUGGUUUUAGGCCUUAGUUGCUCAUUUCACGGAGGUAAUAUACCCUUUAUGCUUUGGUUCCCACUUAACCGAGACGUAUAAGUUUACAAAAAUACGAAAAUGUCACCGCAUUUUGAUAUGCUUCGAUUUUUUUUCAAAACUGAAGCCUAUUGUGCGUGUUAAAAAGCUUUUUUUACUAGUGAUAUCUUUAAUAACCAAUCAUAUCUCAAAACUAAAAUUCACAUAUCCAAUAACCAAUAACCGAUAACCAAUCACAUAUACAAUUACUAAUAACCAAUAACCAACCAAAAAGCUAACCUUCUUCAAGGGUUGAACAUGGAUAUCAUAGAAAGAGUGGAAGGAAAGAGUUUUCAAGUAAUGGAGAUCGGGCACAAGCAAUGGAGAGAAAAAGCAUUUUGUAUGCCACCACCAACAAGUGGGCAUAAGCAAUGGAGUGGGCACAAGCAAUGGACUAGGCACAAGCAAUGGAGAUUAUCCGUCAACUAGCAUACAAUAAACUACACCAUAAGUCAAUAAAAACAAAAUUUAAUCAGUGCAAAAAUAUAAUAGGUCUAAACAACAUUUAAUCAGUGCAAAAUAAUUUUAAAUGAUGUAAAGUGAAGAAAAUACAUACCUGUAAUGGCUAUGGUGAACGUGAACGGAAGAAGACAAAGCAGCGAGAGAAAACGCGUAAGUGAUGCUCGCGUUCUGGAGUUGGUGGAAAACAGGGUAUUUGACGUUGACCCCCCUCCUUGACUUCUAAUUGCUAUAAGAUGUUGGCCCUCCUUCCAAUCCAAUGUCUACUUCGUAAAAAAAAAAGUAUUAAUGCUUAAAAUGAGGUAUUUUCGUACCUUUUCAACGUCUGUGGGGAAGAGAUCCAAUGUCCAAUUCCUAUUAGAUGCCGAGGGCCCUUUAGUUGACGUCUAAUGUCAAUAGAACAGUGACUUUUCAGUCCUUUUGGUAGACCAUUUGACGUCCGAUUUGAGGAGACUGACGUCUAAUACAUAAUUGAUGUUAGGGACCCUUAUAAACAACAUCUAUAAUGACGUUUUAUUUACAAAACUAUCACCGGUCAUUUUUUACUUUGGUUUUUCAUUCUUUAAACAUUAAAUGUAUGAUGUUAUACAGUACUUUUCACUAGUAUUGUAAACCUACAAAAACUUGACUUCCUCAUUGAUCCUUAUUGCCUUCUUUACCCAUUUUGAUGUCAUUUUCUUAUGUGAUUAAUAAAAUCAGUUUAGUAUUUUCAUCUUCAAAUUUUCCAAUAUGGUGAAUGAUUGCAUUAAACACAUACAAAUUUCUAAGAUUAAAUGAUUUUCAAACAAAAAUUAAAAAAAGUUUACAUAAAAAUACACAUUCCAAGCAAAAUGUGAGCUUUAAAAGCAAAUAUGAUAUUAAUUAGUUUUUAAUCUCAUUAAAGAUAUUAUUUCGAAAAAUUAAUAAUAUCCAAAAUAUGAAUUACAUUUAUCACACAAUUAAGAAAAAAAAAAGUGAAAUGUUACAAUGAUGCUAUAUUUUUAACUAAAAUUAUCAAUUUAUCUAUGAAUGAAUCAUAUUUUUACUUAUAGACGUUACACUUUCCAUUUUCAACAUUUCUAAUAAAAAAUCACUCCAUGUGUCUAUUGGACCAGGCAAACACCAAUGGACACAAUCAUUAUAUAGUGUCAUAUUCUCAUUUGGCCAAUAGCCAUAUCUAUUGGGGUGACCAUCUGGUCUCAAUAACAUUGCUUGUGUGGUGUCAAGUAACAUGAACUUCAACCCUUUCUUUAUUCCUUCUUUCUUGGCAAUUCUGAACUCAUCUAAUUGAAUCUUAUGUAACUCUAAAUCAUAACCCUCUAACUUUGUUUCAUUACUCCUAAAUGGCUUAGUUCUCAUACAAUUUCCACCUUUAUUCCACAAUCCAUUUUCAAAAUGAGAUGGUGAAAAUGUUCUAAGAAAUAUGGUACCCUUGAAGUUUUCUAAACUAAUGAUGGUUUUAAAUGUUGUGUUAUAAACCUUUCUAUAGCCAUAGUACAAGUUUGAGUGAGUGAUAUUGUCUAGGUCACAAUGUUGACAUCCAACAACUCUUUGUUUCUCAUAGAACACAAGGGGUCCCAAAAACCAUUGUCCUCCAUUGAUAAUAACAUAGUCAAACUCUUUAAUGUGGGUUGUCCAUGUUUCAUCAAACUCAUCAAUGUAAACAUUGAAGAGGGCACUAUUUGAAUCCACUUUUUUAGCCCUAACUAGAUGGGGUGUCCAAUAAUUAGCCAUGGUGAAGUUGUAAUUUGAGUACUUCCAUUGCUUGAAGGAAAACUCAUUCGUGUUGGAAACAUCUAUGGGCCACUCCACCUACAAAGGAUGAAGAAGAUAAGAGGAUUACUCUUAAUAUGUUUGGGAAAAAACUCUAUUAAGAACUUAUGAAAGGGAAAAAAUAAUAAAAGAAAAGAUGAAUUUAAGUUAAAAUUAGUUCAUAUACAAGUUGUAAAAAUAAAAAUUCAAAACCAUCACCCAUCUUCUAACAAAUAUGACAUUUGCUUAUUUUAUUUUAUUUUAAACUUGAUAAAUAAUAUUUUAACAUACAAUAAAAAAAUUAAUAUGGUUUAAUAAAAAAAAUAUGAACAAAAUUUAAAAUAAGAAAUGAAAUCGAAAAAUGGAUCUUCAAAUAAAAAUUAUAAGAGUUUUAAAUUAAUUAAAAUUUUAAAUUAUUUUUAUAUAUAAAAUAAAACCGAUGUUAAAGAAACAGUGUCGUACGAAUGUUUUUUCAUAAUUUUAUAUUUACUUAUUACUUCAAUAAAUAUUUCUUUUACCACAAUUAUAAUUUAGUUACCAAAAAUUAUUAGAAAAUUAUAUCUUUACAACUUAAUCCUACUUAACAAUCAAUUAGUGACAAUCUUUUAAUGGUAAGAGACGAACUUUUAACAGCAAAAAUAUUUGGCAAUAAGUUGUAGAAAAAACACAAUUUCUUUUUCUAUUAAAAAAUUACAGUUCAAUUUAAACAUAUUUGGAUGAAAAUAUAUCUCUAUCCUACUCUUUUUUUUUUUUUUUUUUCAAUUUAAAGUUGAUUUAAGUUACUAACUAUGUCAAAGCAUAAAGUAUUCCAACAAUUAGGGAACAUUUCAAUUUUAUAAGCUAAUCUAACAAGUUGUAGUGAAAUUAUAUUUUCUGAGCUCUUAUCUGCAACACUAUCUGUUACUUGGGGACUCUAAAAGUACAUAAACAAAAAUGAACAUAUGUAUGAUUGAAGAGGUUAUUCACAUGAGUAAGUAUAUUUUUCCAUAAAUUAUGUAAAUGGACAAUACAAAAAAUAAAAAAGUAAAGUAAAAUUAUGACAUUAGUUCAAAAUAAUAAUACUAAAAUUGUUAGGACUCUUAAAAGAUGAAUCAAACACACCACAAAGCUUAAGCAGAGUUUUAGAAUCUGAGUCUUGAAAAAGUAGGAGAAACACUAACCCUUGAAAGGAGGCAAAUCAUAGACUGCAUAUGAUUUCUGGCUAAGGAAUCUCCAACAAAAGCCAUAGAUUUUCCCCUCAUAAUUUCCAGGAACUGAAAGGGGUUGAAGAUGGGAAGUUCACACUCAUUUGGCUUCCAUCUCCACUUGAUGAACUCAGAAUCAGGUCUCCCAUGUUUCAUGCAGUUUUGGUGUUCAUGAAUUGCCCAACAUGUUGUGUUUGUGUAGUAUGGUGCUUCAGGAUUUGGCACCCAUUCCCCACUGAAAAUGUCACACUUCUUCACAGAUGUUGAGGGAAACCUUUCUGGCUCCUUCAAAUCACCAAUUGCAACCUUAAAUUUAUUGAUCUUCAACAGUGCUGUGGUCACAGUAAAUAUCAGAAACAUUAUGCAUACUACUUUACUUAUGUUUGAUACUGUUUGUUUUUUGGUUGUGUUCCCACAUUCAAGCUCGAUAUGUAGGAACUUCAUGGAAAAGGAGAAAAAGAAGAGGAAGGGAUAAAGGAAACUCAUAGGGGAAUCAGCUUUUGUAAAUAUAUUCUGUAUAAAACCAUGGUUUGUUUUGUCCAAUAAUUCAUUUUUGUUGCUUCAGAUUCUCUUCUUUUUAAACCUAUCAUUAACCAUAAUAUUUAUCAUCUCAUAAUUUUCUGGUGGACUUGUCACAUGCUUAUAUUCCUUUUCCUUUUCUAUUAAUUUGGAAAAUUCAAUUUACUAAACUAAUACUUUUCUUACUGAAUCAGUUCAUUUUCAAAUAAAAUUUAAUAUAUUUUUUAUUAUUUAGGAGUUAAGGAUAAUUAAUUUACAUGUUUUCUAAAAUGGAUAAUACUUUAACCCUAAUGAUAUUAUAUAAUGUGAAUUUGAACAUUUUGGUAUUAAAAAGAGUAAUAUAUUAACCUCUAAUCUUUAUCAUAUAUAGAUAAAACCACAUCUAAAAACAAAUGUUGGUGAUAUAUUGUUUUCAUAAAUAGUAGUUUCUUUAUGAUAAUUUAUGUACGAAGUGGUUGAUUUGUUUGCUCCAUCAAACUUUAUGUAAGUACAAAAUGAAUGGACCAUCCUAACAUUUUUUGACAGCUAAGAUUGAUAAAUGAUGUUGUAAAACGAGAGGAGAAAAGGGGAAUGGUGCUUUGCUGGAGUUUUCUUGUUGUGAUAAGGUCCUUCAAAUAUGAGGAAUCCCUCUCCAACAAAAGCUGUCAUAUCGUUGUAUUUUGUCCUGUUCAACCUGCAGACACAAGAUAUCUCUUGAGAUAUGUUUUUCAUGCAUGUGAACUUAUGAUAAAGCAUAAUGAUAUUAUAUAUCAGCAAAUAGUGAAUAUUUAUCUCAUGGUUUAACCUCGUUCAUUUAAAUCAAAUCAAAGUCUUUGCUUCAUUAUAUAUAUAUAUAUAUAUAUAUAUAUAUAUAUAUAUAUAUAUAUAUAUAUAUAUAUAUAUAUAUAUAUAUAACAAAAGUAAAAUAAAUAUUAACACAUUUAUUUUUAAUAUAAUAAAACAAUUACAUUAAAAUAAAAGUUUUAAUUCUAUUAAUUUUAUUUGAUUUAGUAUAUAUACAUCAGAGUUUAAAAAAAUCGUGUUUUAGAACUGGCAACGUGGUUUAAAUAAUGAUAUUUAAUUAUUUUAAUGUUAAAAUUCAAAAUAUAAAUAUAAUUACAUAAUCUUUUUAAAUUUCUUUUAUCAUUAAAUUUUCUAAUCAUCUUUUGAAGAAAGUUAUCUUUGAAGCAAGCUCUUCACUGUUAUGUGAUUGGUUCAUCACAUAGAGUAAGUUAAUUUUUUACUUUUUUUCAUAGUCUGUGCAUGUGAGCUUUUCUAGUUUGCAUGUGAAGUCUGAAUAUUUUAUAAGAGUCUAUGUUAAUCAUUGGUCCUAAUUAUGUAUCUUGGUCGUGUUUCUGUUGUUCAUAGGAGCAAAAAUGGUUUUAUGUGUGUUUGGAGUUGUUUUAGGAGUUCUUGAAUGUUUGGUAAGUUUAUCAAAUAAGAGAAGCUAAUUACAUUGCUUUAGAAUUUUAGAUGCUUUAAGAAUGUUAAAUUACAUGUUUGGUCUAUUUGAGGUUGAUGGACGUCUGAUAUUGGUGGUUGAAUUGUCGAGUAAUCUAAAUGUGUUGCAAUGGUUGUGUUUCGUUUGAAAUUGUCUUAAUUGGUGUUGAAUUGAAGAACUUAGGAUCUGAUUAUUUGAGCAAGUUGGUAUGCACUCUGAGAUUGAAAAUUGUUUUUGAACUAAACACUAAGUAAUGAAUACCCAUUUGAUAAUCUGAAUAGGUUCCUUAUUUCCCAAAUCACAGUUUUAAGUAUUCUGUUAUUUUAUAUGGCAUUAAGCGGUAUUGGCAUGACGCUGAGCGCAAAUUUGGUUGUGUAAGUUUGGAAGCACUUUUUGUCCAGACCGCUGAAUGUCCCUUUCCACUGUAGAGCGACCACUUUUGUGAGCAUUUGGUGUUGAGCGGUGGCAAGGCACCACUUAGUGUUGGAAGUCCCACAUCAACUAGAGAUAAGGCCAAUUUAUAAUAUAUAAGUGAGGUGUAAUCCUCACCUUACAAGUUGGUUUUGUGGGGGUUGAGUUAGGCUUAAAAACCCACAUUCUAAUACUUAACGCUACUUUUGACUUUAGGUUUGGAACAAUUUUAAUUCUAGGUGAUUGAGUGAUAGAAUGACGUCGUUGAGCGAGAUGUUUUGUGAGAAUAAUGACGCUAAACAUAAGACUACCGUUGAGCACCAUGAUUGUCGAUGAGUUUCAAGACUG
Molecule: long non-coding RNA, 14910 nt
Filed under: Vigna radiata
Lineage: Eukaryota; Viridiplantae; Streptophyta; Magnoliopsida; Fabales; Fabaceae
Description: long non-coding RNA (VRAD_LNC000364)
Source: RNAcentral